AACAGAGAGAUAAUUUCUGGGUUACGAUGAAGAUAAUUUCUGGGUUCUAAUGAUUAUCUUUUGCAUGCAACCUAACCCCAUAUUUGUGCACUCCAUAAGGUGGAAGAGCUGAAUGUAUCAAAGCCUGUGACAACUUGGUCAGAAACACACAGUGCCUCUGUUCCAGCUGGUUCUCUUAAUGCAAGUUUACUACCUGUGGAAUGGGCAUUUGAUGAUUGAAUGAAUCACCCGCGUCGGUUUUGCUGCAUCUGCAUAAUUUCACUGUCAUAUUGUUAGUUUUAAUAGAAAUUGAAAUGUGUAUUCAACUAUUCAUAUAGAGAUGCAUGAUUGAAAAGAUAGUUUCUUACUGUUAAUUGAUUGGAAGAGAGUUUAGGCAUGAUUCAAAAAUAGUUUUUUUUUUUUUUUUUUUUUUUGUUAUUGGUUAAAAAGGUGCAGACUUUUGUGACUCCAGUGGUGCAGACUUUUGUGACUCCAGUGUCCACUAUUUUUUGAGUUUCCACUAUAAGGACCAUAUUUCAUAUGAUAUUUAUAACCAUAGAAUGGAAAUGGUAACUUUAACUUUCCUUUGUGGGUACUAAGAUUCUGUGGCUUUUGUAUAAACUUGAAAUCAUGUAAUUGUCACUCACCAAUCCUACGAUGAUAUUUUUGCAUAGUUGAAAUACAUAUGAUCUAUAUUUGUACAUUUUCUGCCUAGGAGAACUGUAAUGAGUCUUAGCCCCAUAUUUGAGGAAGUUUGGAGCAACGUUCUGGAGAUUGCGCUGAGAGUUUUGGGCUUGCACUUGGUAAUGGCUUGGUCUGGUCGAGUGUACUAAAUAGCAAUUUCUGCUGCUAAAUAUGCAGGUUAGUCCUGUUUGAUGUUCAUAGGUUUGUACGAGAUGCUAUUGUAUCUAAAUCUGGUGGAUGGUACUUCUAAAAUUCGAGGGUACAUUCCUUAUAACAGUUCUAUUAACUUGGCUGGAAACAUCCAAUUAUUUCAUUGUCACUGCAGUUCCAUAAUGAAAACAAUGAUUAUGACAGGGACAAAGAACUAAAUUGAUCAUUGACUAUUUUGAGCCUGUUAGCUUCAAGGGCAAGAGUUUAGGCCUGUAUACCUUUGACAUAUCUCUCCCACCAUUACCUGAAGCCUUUUUCUCUAGUGAUUAUCAUCUACAUAUGAUUAUCUCAUUUAUAGAUAAUUUUGCAGUUGUACAUAUUAAUCUUUUUGUAUUCUGUUAUCACUUCGGUGAUUGAGUUCUACUACGAUUGUAACUUCUGUAUGCAUAUCAAUAUAAAUACAACACAAAAUUUGCGGCUGUUUCCUUAGUGAUUAUCAUCUACAUAUGAUUAUCUCAUUGAUAGAUACAACACUAAGUUAAUGUGUCUUAACUUAUGAUUGCAACUGCAUUACAUACAAAAUUGUGAAAAAAAAGACUUACAUACGAAAUUUGUGAAAAAAA
Molecule: long non-coding RNA, 1436 nt
Organism: Rosa rugosa (rugosa rose)
Lineage: Eukaryota; Viridiplantae; Streptophyta; Magnoliopsida; Rosales; Rosaceae
Exons: 3
Source: RefSeq, a predicted model, not a curated record